This 484-nucleotide ribosomal RNA is filed under the name Hansenula anomala. Its description in RNAcentral is "eukaryotic LSU rRNA". It matches the Rfam family "Eukaryotic large subunit ribosomal RNA", at positions 99 to 580 of the family's 3401-position model. Lineage: Eukaryota; Fungi; Ascomycota; Saccharomycetes; Phaffomycetales; Wickerhamomycetaceae. The record is from RNAcentral.
CGGCAAAAGCUCAAAUUUGAAAUCUAGCACCUUCGGUGUUCGAGUUGUAAUUUGAAGAUGGUAACCUUGGGUUUGGCUCUUGUCUAUGUUCCUUGGAACAGGACGUCAUAGAGGGUGAGAAUCCCGUCUGAUGAGAUGCCCAUUCCUAUGUAAGGUGCUAUCGAAGAGUCGAGUUGUUUGGGAAUGCAGCUCUAAGUGGGUGGUAAAUUCCAUCUAAAGCUAAAUAUUGGCGAGAGACCGAUAGCGAACAAGUACAGUGAUGGAAAGAUGAAAAGAACUUUGAAAAGAGAGUGAAAAAGUACGUGAAAUUGUUGAAAGGGAAGGGCAUUAGAUCAGACUUGGUGUUUUACGAUUAUCUUCUCUUCUUGAGUUGUGCACUCGUAUUUCACUGGGCCAGCAUCGAUUCGGAUGGCAAGAUAAUGGCAGUUGAAUGUGGCUUCACUUCGGUGGAGUGUUAUAGCUUCUGCUGAUAUUGCCUGUCUGG